This is a long non-coding RNA of Mytilus trossulus (common blue mussel), 767 nucleotides long. RefSeq lists it as uncharacterized. Lineage: Eukaryota; Metazoa; Mollusca; Bivalvia; Mytilida; Mytilidae. The transcript has 2 exons. The record is from RefSeq and is a predicted model, not a curated record.
GGCUGUAACAUCCAUCUUUACCAAGUCCACCUUUAUGACCUGGUUAUUUAUAGGAGUUUCAUUUAUCUACACUUUUACCUGUAUCAGGUCAUGCAGGUAAACAAAGUUGUUAUAUUCAAUAUCAUUUUCCCUGUUUCUAAUGUAAACAUAGUUUAUAAGUGCUAGCUGAGUGAGAUCAACCUUGAAGCUUUAGGCAUUCAUUUCUAUACAGGCGAGUGGUGAUGAUAAGUGUAUAAAAGGGUGUGAAGAGGAUUUCCUAUACAUACUAACAGGAAUUAACAUCAUUUAUUGUACUUUUACUGAUAUAUUUAUCAAGAAUUUGUUACAGACUAAAACCUAACAUAUAACAGAAUGGGAUCUGGUGAUGGAAGUGGUGAAGGAAAAGGCAAAGCAGAAUUAUGUCCAGGAAUAUUAUGGGCAAUAUUGUGGUUUCUGAUCUUGUGGUUCCUAGCAUGGCCAGUUGCCUUCUUUAUAGCUUGGCUCUAUGUACUUUUAAUUCCAUUCAGUGCCUGUAUAGAACCACUCAAAGGUGUAUGUGAAGCCAUUUUAAAAGUAGUAAAUCUUCCUUUGACUUGUGCCGAAAAUAUGAUUGCAAUGAAACCACUGUGUGGAUAAAAACUAGAUUUUAUACAUCUUUUAUACAAUGUAUCUAUUUAUUCAAACUAAAAUAUUAGCUUAUUUAUGACAAAAAACUGUAUAUUUUUGUUUAAGUUGCAACAAAUAUGUUGAUAUUUUUUGAUUUUUAUUAAAUUCAAUAUACUUUUUGA